GACGAACGCUGGCGGCGUGCCUAAUACAUGCAAGUCGAGCGAGCGGAACCAACAGAUUUACUUCGGUAAUGACGUUGGGAAAGCGAGCGGCGGAUGGGUGAGUAACACGUGGGGAACCUGCCCCUAAGUCUGGGAUACCAUUUGGAAACAGGUGCUAAUACCGGAAAAUAAAGCAGAUCGCAUGAUCAGCUUUUGAAAGGCGGCGUAAGCUGUCGCUAAGGGAUGGCCCCGCGGUGCAUUAGCUAGUUGGUAAGGUAACGGCUUACCAAGGCGACGAUGCAUAGCCGAGUUGAGAGACUGAUCGGCCACAUUGGGACUGAGACACGGCCCAAACUCCUACGGGAGGCAGCAGUAGGGAAUCUUCCACAAUGGACGCAAGUCUGAUGGAGCAACGCCGCGUGAGUGAAGAAGGUUUUCGGAUCGUAAAGCUCUGUUGUUGGUGAAGAAGGAUAGGGGUAGUAACUGGCCUUUAUUUGACGGUAAUCAACCAGAAAGUCACGGCUAACUACGUGCCAGCAGCCGCGGUAAUACGUAGGUGGCAAGCGUUGUCCGGAUUUAUUGGGCGUAAAGCGAGCGCAGGCGGAAAAAUAAGUCUAAUGUGAAAGCCCUCGGCUUAACCGA
RNAcentral lists this ribosomal RNA (621 nucleotides) under uncultured Lactobacillus sp. Its description in RNAcentral is "bacterial SSU rRNA". It matches the Rfam family "Bacterial small subunit ribosomal RNA", at positions 28 to 616 of the family's 1533-position model. Lineage: Bacteria; Bacillati; Bacillota; Bacilli; Lactobacillales; Lactobacillaceae. The record is from RNAcentral.